This 294-nucleotide ribosomal RNA is filed under the name Kluyvera sp. CC29. RNAcentral's name for it is "partial 16S ribosomal RNA". It matches the Rfam family "Bacterial small subunit ribosomal RNA", at positions 46 to 334 of the family's 1533-position model. The record is from RNAcentral. Lineage: Bacteria; Pseudomonadati; Pseudomonadota; Gammaproteobacteria; Enterobacterales; Enterobacteriaceae.
AGGCCUAACACAUGCAAGUCGAACGGCAGCACAGAAGAGCUUGCUCUUUGGGUGGCGAGUGGCGGACGGGUGAGUAAUGUCUGGGAAACUGCCCGAUGGAGGGGGAUAACUACUGGAAACGGUAGCUAAUACCGCAUAACGUCGCAAGACCAAAGUGGGGGACCUUCGGGCCUCACACCAUCGGAUGUGCCCAGAUGGGAUUAGCUAGUAGGUGGGGUAAUGGCUCACCUAGGCGACGAUCCCUAGCUGGUCUGAGAGGAUGACCAGCCACACUGGAACUGAGACACGGUCCAG